GGAAGUACUGAGAGACCCUUUAAAUCUGAAAUUGACUUGAAAACAUGAGGAGAAUUGAGCUAGGCCAGUCCAGCAUAAACUGCUGGCUAUGUUUCUGUCAGAAUUAGUGUAUCUUCUUGUCAACAGUUAUAGCAGAGAAGUUGAGGAUUAAAUAGCCUGUGGGAAAGAAGUUCUUUCAUUCUAGCUAAUCUUUCGGAAUAGUGCUUCCAUCUGAUGAUUUGGUUCUAGUCUUUUUUUUCUUUUUAAGCAAAUAUAUGUAGAGAAUUUUUCUAUAAAAAUAAAAUCAGUUAUUCAUAUACUACAUUUAAUUUUGCUGUAUUAUUAACAUAUUCUAGUAUAAUGUCAUAUU
This 349-nucleotide long non-coding RNA is filed under the name Bos taurus (domestic cattle). RNAcentral's name for it is "long non-coding RNA NONBTAT007417". The record is from RNAcentral. Lineage: Eukaryota; Metazoa; Chordata; Mammalia; Artiodactyla; Bovidae.